AUGAGUUUGUUAUGUUGGAACUGCCGGGGGGAACCGCGGACAGUUCGUGAGGUUUUGGCCCUCUCUAAAGCCAAUUCCCCGGGGCUUAUAUUCUUAUCUGAAACUAGACAAGCCUCAAGUAAGAUGGAGCGUCUUAAGUGGAGAUUACAGAUGAAGGGUUUUGUGGGGGUAUCGAGCCAGGGUCUGAGUGGUGGCCUGGCUCUGUACUGGGAUGAGAGUUUGCAAGUAACAGUUUUGGAUGCUUGUGCACGGUACAUUGACGUGCGGAUUGUGGAUGCAGCAAAUGAUAAUUCAUGGAGGACAACCUUUGUGUAUGGCGAGCCGAGAGUGGAGAAUCGGCAUCGCAUGUGGAGCACACUAUCUAACCUUAGGGCAGUUUCCGCGGAACCAUGGUUAGUGUGUGGUGAUUUUAAUGAAGCUAUGUGGCAACAUGAGCACUUCUCUCAAUCUCAACGGUCUGAAAAUCAAAUGCAAGUGUUUCGUGAUUGUCUGGUAGUAUGUGAUGUUGGGGAACGCAAUAAUUUCAAAAAAAUUCCUACGCACACGCAAGAUCAUGGUGAUGCAUAG
This 567-nucleotide ribosomal RNA is filed under the name Triticum aestivum (bread wheat). RNAcentral's name for it is "partial small subunit ribosomal RNA". The record is from RNAcentral. Lineage: Eukaryota; Viridiplantae; Streptophyta; Magnoliopsida; Poales; Poaceae.